GGAAGAGAAUCCUGUUUCCCAACUGGGCCUCCCCUCUGGAGAUGGAGCAAGGAAGACUGUCCAACUCUGCUCUGGGCACCCUGCUGAUGGAUGAGGUGUCAGGCCAGUCGUCAUGUGAGGACUGGUUUCCAAAUGAUACAAAAAGAAAAAUUACUGUCAUGUGAUGUGUGAUCCAUGAUACCGUCAUAGUUUUGUUCCAAGACCAUCCUCAAGGAGUUUAAUGAAUGUGGCAUCACAAGAAAAAUAUGCAUCAACAUUGAAAAGCAAAGCCUUCCAGCCAGUUCAAUGGUGGGAGUCUCCCCCUGCUCUUCCUGCACAAUCAUUUCCCAUUGAGGAAGAAUGUGAAAAUGACGCACAGGUGAGGGAGGCAUACUAUAAGACCGCUUCUUACCUUUCGUUUCCUGGAGCCAAUAUGAAUGAAGACCCAGAGAGAGGAGAAGGGAAAGAGAAGCUGCCAAAAACAGACAAUGGGAGAAAAGAAGUGAGCACCAAGAGCAUCCUGGGAUGAAAAUGAGGAAGGCUGGAGAUUUGUCAUUGUCAGUGUUGUCAUUUUCUGUCGUAUUUUAAAUCUGAGAGCUUUUAUGGUAGGAGUAUAUGUGCUGUUUUAUAAUAGCUUAGAGAAAAUUUUUCAUUGGAUGUUUUAGUCCAUUCAUUCCUUAGCACUUACAAAAGUCACAGGCAAAAAUCAAACGUGCAAGCAAAUCCCAAACUCUCUACAUGUAAAGUGGUGAAUUCUAAUUAUUUUUCAAAUUUGUUCAGUUGUUAUAGUUAUGCCAUUGCUGUGUAUUUGUAUUUAUCUUUUUUAUUAAAUACAUAUUCACUAAUCUGCCUGAUUUGUGAUUGUUUUAUUUAGUUUUCUUUACUCCUUGUUUGUACUUUGGGCCUGAGGUUUUAGAAGAUGAUCUGACAAAAGUGUAUUUCAAUCUGGGAGAAGUGAUCAUUGCUCAAUAACCAUGAUUGAUCAUUGAUCAUUAACCAUGGAUUAGCCAUGGGAUGAUUUGUCCUAGAGGAUGAGGUUUUAGCCCCUGUCAUUGUCACUCUAUCUUAUGUGGGGCUUAGAAUCUCAUCAAAUUUUUCUUUGAUGCUUCUUGGCUACCAUUAUCCAUUUGCUCAGAAUGUGUCAGUCCCAGCCCAGUGAUGCCUAACCAGGAGCAUUAUUGGGUCACUGCACAUAGUUUUGUGAUUAAUUCAUUUAAAAAUAAACUGUCCUUGAAUUAUGCUGAGUCGUGUCAUCCGUUUCCUGAAGAAAUCCUGGUUGAUACACCUAGUCAAUAAUUAGGUGUGAGACCAGCCUCUAAAAAGGCAUUCUAGUUGGAUACUUUACAGAUACUGGAUUUCCAGUGCCUGUGCUCCACUGGUCCCUUGGAUUAAGGAAAACUGGUAGAGAUACUUUUCAAAGAAAACAAAAGGAACAUAUUUGCUUCCCUGAAGGGUCCCUGGGGAAGGCAGAUAGGUCUGGUGGGGAUUUGCAACAUUCUGCAUAAUGCUGUCUGCCUCUGUCUCUAAGAGGGCCUAGCACGUAGUCCAUGCCAGAUGUAUUCUGUAUUCUCCAGAUCCAUUUUUCUUCCUUUUGCACCUUGCUUUCUGCCUGUGAAGGCUGAAUUUCGUGGACUGCAUCAACUGGCUCUGCACAGGCUAAUAGUUAGGUUCAGCCAAUGGGGAGGCUUGGCAAGAGAAAAAGGAAAAACAAAUGAGGUCAGGGCAAAUAUUGCCCUGGUUUCCUACAUAAGGGGUCAUCUCAGGCUGACCGUGUCCCUUCACGGAAAGUCACUUCUCUCCGGAUUCCUUUUCUAUGUAACUAUUCUGUAUUUCAGUAAUUUCUCCCAUCUGUCAUCCCUCAAGACUACGGGCAAUAACAGCCCACCUACUGUUAGCCCUCGGUUCCUCAACCAUACGUUGAGGAAUUCCGUGUACCCUGCACACACCUUUGUGAUUAAUUCAGAUGAAAAUAAACUCUCCUUGAAUUAUGCUAAUGUGUGAGUGUCAUCUGUUUCUUGUUGAAAUCCUCAUUGAUAUAGCUAGUCAAUAAUUAAUAGUUAAUAUUUAUUGAAUGUUUACUAUUCUAAAAGAUGCAUGGGAACUGACACAUUAAAUCAUCUCAAUAGGAAAUAUCAAGAGAUACUAUUAUUAUCCCUAUUUCACAGCUUAGAAGAGAUUAAGCCAUAUCCCUGGGGUGCACAAAAUAAAGUGGUGGGAUGUGAUUUGCACCAGAGCAUUCUUCUGUCUCCAGAGUCUGGGCUCU
Long non-coding RNA from Homo sapiens (human), 2242 nucleotides. Ensembl annotates it as long intergenic non-protein coding RNA 1414. Lineage: Eukaryota; Metazoa; Chordata; Mammalia; Primates; Hominidae. The record is from Ensembl.